RNAcentral lists this unclassified non-coding RNA (374 nucleotides) under soil metagenome. Its description in RNAcentral is "partial contains internal transcribed spacer 2 and large subunit ribosomal RNA". The stretch from base 1 to 120 matches the Rfam family "5.8S ribosomal RNA", at positions 35 to 154 of the family's 154-position model. The record is from RNAcentral.
GAUGAAGAACGUAGUGAAAUGCGAUAAUUAAUGUGAAUUGCAGAAUUCCGUGAAUCAUCGAGUCUUUGAACGCACAUUGCGCCUCAUGGCAUUCCGUGAGGCAUGCCCAUCUCAGCGUUAGAAAAUAUUCUCAAAUUUUAGUUUUGUGCUAAAAUUUGGAUCAUGUCAAGGAAGCUAUUACUAUUAUUGUGAUCGCUCUUUGGAAAUUGAUAGGUCUUUGAGUUGCUACUCAUAGAACGUGAUGAAUCUUUCUUCGUUCUAUUGUAAUUCACUCUGGUAGUCCUAAAACUUGUAUGCCUGUGGCAUAUGUUGUAAUUUGACCUGAGAUUGGGUAGGGAUACCCGCUGAACUUAAGCAUAUCAAUAAGCGGAGGA